RNAcentral lists this unclassified non-coding RNA (297 nucleotides) under Hevea brasiliensis (rubber tree). The record is from RNAcentral. Lineage: Eukaryota; Viridiplantae; Streptophyta; Magnoliopsida; Malpighiales; Euphorbiaceae.
CUCAGCUCCAGGUACUGAUGGUAGGUGAGAUCCGUGUCUGUCGAGACGUAACUGCCGCCCUGUCCGCGCCCUCUUCCCUGUCCCCGCACUUCGUCGAAGGUGAAGCCCGGGAAGUCAGGAAGAUCAUGAAGCGCACGGACAACGUGGCCUUCCAUAUGAGGCCUGAUCAGCGCGGUGAUCAACGUGUGGUUGGUAUCAGUGCUCAUCGCCGCCCGCUCCCUUUGUCAUCUCAGCCUUCACGAUGAAGCUGUUCUGCGCCGCGUAGAGAUCGCCAUCGAGGACGCCGAAGAGAAUUUC